GGGCCCGCACAAGCGGUGGAGCAUGUGGUUUAAUUCGAAGCAACGCGAAGAACCUUACCAGUCCUUGACAUGGGUAGUUUGGUUAUUGGAGACAAUUUCCUUCAGUUCGGCUGGCUACCACACAGGUGCUGCACGGCUGUCGUCAGCUCGUGUCGUGAGAUGUUGGGUUAAGUCCCGCAACGAGCGCAACCCUCAUCUUUAGUUGCCAUCGGUUCGGCCGGGCACUCUAAAGAAACUGCCUGCGAUGAGCAGGAGGAAGGCGGGGACGACGUCAAGUCAUCAUGGCCCUUAUGGACUGGGCUACACACGUGCUACAAUGGCGGUGACAACAGGCAGCGAAGGGGUGACCUGGAGCAAAUCCUAAAAAGCCGUCCCAGUUCGGAUUGUACUCUGCAACUCGAGUACAUGAAGUUGGAAUCGCUAGUAAUCGCGGAU
RNAcentral lists this ribosomal RNA (435 nucleotides) under uncultured bacterium. Its description in RNAcentral is "bacterial SSU rRNA". It matches the Rfam family "Bacterial small subunit ribosomal RNA", at positions 917 to 1349 of the family's 1533-position model. The record is from RNAcentral.